ACCAGCCACAGUGGUAUGCCUGUAGUCCCAGCUACUUGGGAGGCUGAGGCAGGAGGAUCACCUGAGUCUAGGAGUUCUGGGCUGUAGUGUACUAUGCCAGUCAGGUGUCCACACUCAGUUUGGCAUCAAUAUGCUGACCUUCUGGGAGCAUGGGACCACCAGGUUGCCUAAGGAGAAGUGAACUGGCCCAGGUGGAAACGGAACAGGUCAAAACUCCCAUGCUGAUCAGUAGUGGGAUUGCACCUGUGAACAGCAACCGCACUCCAGUCGGCAACAUAGCAAGAUUUGUCUCU
RNAcentral lists this signal recognition particle RNA (293 nucleotides) under Microcebus murinus (gray mouse lemur). Its description in RNAcentral is "Metazoan signal recognition particle RNA (ENSMICG00000027411.2)". It matches the Rfam family "Metazoan signal recognition particle RNA". Rfam says of the family: The signal recognition particle (SRP) is a universally conserved ribonucleoprotein. It is involved in the co-translational targeting of proteins to membranes. The record is from RNAcentral. Lineage: Eukaryota; Metazoa; Chordata; Mammalia; Primates; Cheirogaleidae.